UACGUAGGAGGCAAGCGUUGUCCGGAAUUACUGGGCGUAAAGCGCGUGUAGGUGGUGGGACAAGUCUGCUGUGAAAGCGCCUGGCUUAACCGGGCGAGGUCGGCGGAAACUGUCCGACUCGAGGACGGUAGAGGGGGGUGGAAUUCCCGGUGUAGUGGUGAAAUGCGUAGAGAUCGGGAGGAACACCUGUGGCGAAGGCGGCCCCCUGGCCCGAUACUGACGCUGAGGCACGAAAGCGUGGGGAGCAAACAGG
Molecule: ribosomal RNA, 253 nt
Filed under: uncultured bacterium
Lineage: Bacteria
Description: partial 16S ribosomal RNA
Rfam family: Bacterial small subunit ribosomal RNA
Source: RNAcentral